This 301-nucleotide ribosomal RNA is filed under the name uncultured bacterium. Its description in RNAcentral is "partial 16S ribosomal RNA". It matches the Rfam family "Bacterial small subunit ribosomal RNA", at positions 509 to 807 of the family's 1533-position model. The record is from RNAcentral.
CAGUCGCCACGGGAAUACGGAGGGUGCAAGCGUUAAUCGGAAUUACUGGGCGUAAAGCGCACGCAGGCGGUCUGGCAAGUCAGAUGUGAAAUCCCCGGGCUUAACCUGGGAACUGCAUUUGAAACUGGCAGGCUAGAGUCUUGUAGAGGGGGGUAGAAUUCCAGGUGUAGCGGUGAAAUGCGUAGAGAUCUGGAGGAAUACCGGUGGCGAAGGCGGCCCACUGGACAAAGCCUGACGCUCAGGUGCGAAAGCGUGGGGAGCAAACAGGAUUAGAUACCCGAGUAGUCCCUGUCUCUUAUAC